GACGAACGCUGGCGGCGUGCCUAAUACAUGCAAGUUGAGCGCUGAAGGUUGGUACUUGUACCAACUGGAUGAGCAGCGAACGGGUGAGUAACGCGUGGGGAAUCUGCCUUUGAGCGGGGGACAACAUUUGGAAACGAAUGCUAAUACCGCAUAAAAACUUUGAACACAAGUUUUAAGUUUGAAAGAUGCAAUUGCAUCACUCAAAGAUGAUCCCGCGUUGUAUUAGCUAGUUGGUGAGGUAAAGGCUCACCAAGGCGAUGAUACAUAGCCGACCUGAGAGGGUGAUCGGCCACAUUGGGACUGAGACACGGCCCAAACUCCUACGGGAGGCAGCAGUAGGGAAUCUUCGGCAAUAGACGAAAGUCUGACCGAGCAACGCCGCGUGAGUGAAGAAGGUUUUCGGAUCGUAAAACUCUGUUGGUAGAGAAGAACGUUGGUGAGAGUGGAAAGCUCAUCAAGUGACGGUAACUACCCAGAAAGGGACGGCUAACUACGUG
This 497-nucleotide ribosomal RNA is filed under the name uncultured bacterium. Its description in RNAcentral is "partial 16S ribosomal RNA". It matches the Rfam family "Bacterial small subunit ribosomal RNA", at positions 28 to 507 of the family's 1533-position model. The record is from RNAcentral.